This 346-nucleotide long non-coding RNA is filed under the name Coturnix japonica (Japanese quail). RNAcentral describes it as "lncRNA (ENSCJPG00005007796.1)". Lineage: Eukaryota; Metazoa; Chordata; Aves; Galliformes; Phasianidae. The record is from RNAcentral.
CAAACAGUUGGCUUGUAGAGUAGCUGUUAGUCUCAGAUGGCAGACAGAGGAGCUGGCCAGACAGACGGGAGGAGCACAGAGCAAGCAUGAGAUGUCUGGAGUCAGCCAGAAAUGAGGCUCCCACCACUGCAGAUGCUGCUUAUGGGUCACAGUCAUGCAACACGUGUGAAUGAUAAACUUCAGAGCAAUGUGUCAUUAGAGCAACUUACAGAACAGCUUGCAGGAGUCCAGAGCUGCUGGCUGGCCUAUUGAGCAGACAUGAGUACUUUUGCUGAAGACGGUUCAUCGUCUUAAAUUUGGUAAACUGUAGAGUGAAAGACCCUUGCUACCACUUAUUCCAGAAAAC